AAGGGCACCACAAGAACGCGUGGAGCAUGUGGCUUAAUUUGACUCAACGCGGGAAAUCUUACCGGGUCCGGACACACUGAGGAUUGACAGGCAAUAUUAUAAUUUUUUAAUUGAAAUAAAUUUUUAUUAAUUUAUUUUUUUUAUUUUUUAUAUGUUAAAUAUGCUAGUCCUUUCAUGAUUAUGUGAUAGGUGGUGCAUGGCCGUUCUUAGUUCGUGGAGUGAUCUGUCUGCUUAAUUGCGUUUCACUAUUGGGCUUAUAUAAUUACGUAUGUUGUUAACGCUUUGACCCCUUUCUACGGAUUGUGCGUGUCUUUGUCUCGUUUAACUCAUACAAUUAAGCCCUGAAAGCAACGAACGUGACCGCAACCUCUUGUUGCUCUCAUAUUACCUUAUACUGCAUAAUAUUUGAAUAAUUUAUUUUAUUUUUUUUUUAUGUUUAAGAGAGCUUUCUAAACUAGAGGGACCGCUGUUACUUUCUUAAACCAGAGGAAGGUUGCGGCAAUAACAGGUCUGUGAUGCCCUUAGAUGUUCCGGGCUGCACACGUGCUACAAUGAUUAUUGCAGUGAGCAUCUCAUUUUUUACACAUCGCAUGCGCGAGUCCAUUUAUUCAGAUAUCUUUCAUUACUUUCGGGUAAUGUAGUGUUUGCUUUAAAUGUGUAUCUCUGCGCGCGAUAAAGCCUGCUUCGAAAGUAAGUGGGUAAUCAAUUAGAAGUAAUGAUUUCCUUUUUUUUUCUGCACACAUAUAUAUGGCACUUAUACCCGGGUAACCUCGUUGUUACUUUUGUGCGUAUACGUGAUAAUCUUUACCGAUUAUACUACCAUAUGUGCAAUUGUCAAUUCAUGGUGGGGACAGACCAUUGUUAAUUGUUGGUCUCGGUCUUAACUAGGAAUGCCUUGUACGGAUCUUUGGUUCAACAAACCAUCCGGAAUACGUCCCUGCCCUUUGUACACACCGCCCGUC
RNAcentral lists this ribosomal RNA (962 nucleotides) under Cassidulinoides sp. Its description in RNAcentral is "partial small subunit ribosomal RNA". It matches the Rfam family "Eukaryotic small subunit ribosomal RNA", at positions 1160 to 1677 of the family's 1831-position model. Lineage: Eukaryota; Foraminifera; Rotaliida; Cassidulinidae. The record is from RNAcentral.